Molecule: long non-coding RNA, 731 nt
Organism: Cornus florida
Lineage: Eukaryota; Viridiplantae; Streptophyta; Magnoliopsida; Cornales; Cornaceae
Exons: 3
Source: RefSeq, a predicted model, not a curated record
UUCUAAGGAAAUAGUGAAUAUACAUAACACACAAGUAUGAUAUGCAUGCACACACAUUAGUAAAGCCUAGAAAGAUAAGUGGGAAAGAAAAAUAAAAAUAAAAAAAAAAAUAAAAAAAGACAAAAAAAAAAAACUUCUUGUGGAAACUGUUACCAACCAUAGCACCCAUGAGUCACAAACAAGGGAAUUUAAUUUAACACUGAAGUGACACGGGGCAUGGAAAUAAAAUAUUAGUAUCUGGAAGUUUAUCUUUGUGACUUCCUGAAUCGGCCUAGGGUUGCAAAAAGAAAGAAAGUUUUGAAAGGGAAAAUACAGGGGAAAAGAAGGUGAAGUCGUGUGGGAAAGAAAGAGGGAUAAGGGAGAAAAAGGAAAGGGAGUUCUCCAUUCAGGUUCAGGCCUGGAAAAGGAGCUGACAACUUCGACCAUACCAAAUGAUAAGUGAACAAAGUGGGGGCGUAGCCAAGGUAUCAGGUUGGGUUGCUACUGCCAAGUCUAGAGUCUUGUGUGUGAAUGGGGAAAAGAACCAUGGAACGUCUUUUGUAUAAAAUGUAAAUAUUGUAGUAGAACUUAAUAUUAUGACUUGAAGUUACUUGUUUAGUUUUCUUAGAACUUGCGAGGUGGAUUUAUAAUUUAUCUUUAAUUGUAAACUGUUAAGCAGGUACUCUGAUGUAGGAUGAUGUCAUGUAUGAAUGAGGUUAAUGCAGAUGGUUGGAUGCAUUCCAAUUUGUUUA